Mauremys mutica (yellowpond turtle) is the source of this 554-nucleotide long non-coding RNA. RefSeq lists it as uncharacterized. The transcript is spliced from 3 exons. The record is from RefSeq and is a predicted model, not a curated record. NCBI's taxonomy places the organism in Eukaryota, Metazoa, Chordata, Testudines, Geoemydidae.
UUCUUUGUAUUGUUCCCCAAUGCAAAGCAGGCUAAAACCCAGUGAGGACCCAGCAACAUGAGGAUUUCCCUUGUGUAAGGAGACACUUUGAGUGACAGGCCCUUUUGUGGCUCCUGCACCACUACCCUACCCAGCUGCCAGUGUACGGGACAUGGCUAGGAGACAUCGCCACUUGACAACUAGGAGGCUUGAAGACACUUUUGUACCUUCCCCACCUCAGCAGGGUUGGACAUAGCUUAGGAUCAAACCUUUGACUCAGAGUGAGAAAUCAGCAGCUGAGAUCUGUGUUACACCACAGAAUGAUGUUCAGCUACAGAAGAUGACUUUUUUUAUGGAUCCAUGUCAGCCAAACAGCUGAAGGAGAUAAACCAGUAGCUGUGCCACUAAUUGGAGUAAAAGACCUCUCUUUCAGCAAGAGAUUGGAGCUGAACAAUAUAGUUUCAGUGAAAAGAUGUAGGUGCAUUUAUAAAGCACUUCUGGGAAAAUAACUGAAGACGAAGGAGAAAAAUGCUACAGAAGACUGUGUUCAAUCAGAAUAAAUAUAUCCAAGAUAA